GGUGGAGCUCAGAGAGAGACGUGGUGGAGCUCAGAGAGAGACAUGGUGGAGCUCAGAGAGAGACAUGGUGGAGCUCAGAGAGAGACAUGGUGGAGCUCAGAGAGACAUGGUGGAGCUUAGAGAGAAACAUGGUGGAGCUCAGAGAGCUGGAGAGAGACAUGGUGGAGCUCAGAGAGCUGGAGAGAGACGUGGUGGAGCUCAGAGAGACAUGGUGGAGCUCAGAGAGCUGGAGAGAGACGUGGUGGAGCUCAGAGAGCUGGAGAGAGACGUGGUGGAGCUCAGAGAGCUGGAGAGAGACGUGGUGGAGCUCAGAGAGCUGGAGAGAGACAUGGUGGAGCUCAGAGAAAGACGUGGUGGAGCUCAGAGAGAGACGUGGUGGAGCUCAGAGAGAGACAUGGUGGAGCUCAGAGAGAGACGUGGUGGAGCUCAGAGAGAGACGUGGUGGAGCUCAGAGAGAGACGUGGUGGAGCUCAGAGAGCUGGAGAGAGACGUGGUGGAGCUCAGAGAGCUGGAGAGAGACAUGGUGGAGCUCAGAGAGCUGGAGAGAGACAUGGUGAAUGAGUAGGUGUUUCCUAACUUUUGACUGGUACUUUGUGAUCAUACUUUCCAUACCAAUAAAGCCUUUUGAGUUGAAAAGAGAGAGAGAGGGAAACAGAGAGAGAUGGAGAGAGAGGGAAACAGAGAGA
Long non-coding RNA from Oncorhynchus tshawytscha (Chinook salmon), 686 nucleotides. NCBI's taxonomy places the organism in Eukaryota, Metazoa, Chordata, Actinopteri, Salmoniformes, Salmonidae. The record is from Ensembl.